CUUGUAGGCUAGCGCUUGGCGCUGCGCCAGGAGUUAAGAGGCUGCAGCUGUGCUCUCUCCCUUUGGGAUCUGCCACAGAUGCUCCGGGCACCGUUAGAUCUCCCAGGUCAUAAGGACAUUAACGUGGAGCUGCUGAGAGCGGGGACCCAAACCAGCUGGAGACCCUCUUACCAGGCUUCCAGGAAAUGAGAGCAACAACCCCAAAGCUUGCUGCUCAGGCGUGCUAGAUUCUCCGCGCUGUUGAAAACCAGCCUUUGAAGUUUGCCUCUGCGCCCGUCUGAUGUGAAGCAGUCUGCCAUUGUCUACUCUGCUCCAGGCACCUUUGCUGUUCCUCUCCUGCCGCUGACAGAGGCCCUGCCCACUAACUAUUCCUUCUGCCUGGAACAUUCCUCCAUCGCCUUUAAAAACUUGCUGAAAUCUCACAAUCUCAGUGAGUCCUGUUUGAAUUAAAACAUAAAACAGGC
Long non-coding RNA from Mesocricetus auratus (golden hamster), 464 nucleotides. RefSeq lists it as uncharacterized. The transcript has 2 exons. The record is from RefSeq and is a predicted model, not a curated record. Lineage: Eukaryota; Metazoa; Chordata; Mammalia; Rodentia; Cricetidae.